RNAcentral lists this non-coding RNA (275 nucleotides) under Lachnospiraceae bacterium 9_1_43BFAA. Its description in RNAcentral is "Bacterial large subunit ribosomal RNA". It matches the Rfam family "Bacterial large subunit ribosomal RNA", at positions 2649 to 2925 of the family's 2925-position model. The record is from Rfam by way of RNAcentral. Lineage: Bacteria; Bacillati; Bacillota; Clostridia; Lachnospirales; Lachnospiraceae.
GGGCGUAGGAUAUUUGAGAGGAGCUGCCCUUAGUACGAGAGGACCGGGGUGGACGUGGCCGCUGGUGUAUCUGUUGCACUGCCAAGUGCAUGGCAGAGUAGCCAAGCCGGGACGGGAUAAACGCUGAAGGCAUCUAAGCGUGAAGCCCCCCUCAAGAUGAGAUAUCCCAACGCAAGUUGUAAGACCCCUUGAAGACGACGAGGUAGAUAGGACAGAGGUGGAAGUGCAGUAAUGUAUGGAGCUGACUGUUACUAAUCGGUCGAGGGCAUAACCAA